Molecule: ribosomal RNA, 250 nt
Filed under: uncultured bacterium
Lineage: Bacteria
Description: partial 16S ribosomal RNA
Rfam family: Bacterial small subunit ribosomal RNA
Source: RNAcentral
UACGUAGGGGGCAAGCGUUGUCCGGAAUCAUUGGGCGUAAAGAGCGUGUAGGCGGUCCGGUCAGUCGGUUGUGAAAGUCAAGGGCUCAACCCUUGAAUGCCGGCCGAUACUGCCGGGCUAGAGUCCGGAAGAGGUGAGUGGAAUUCCUGGUGUAGCGGUGAAAUGCGCAGAUAUCAGGAGGAACACCGAUGGCGAAGGCAGCUCACUGGGACGGUACUGACGCUGAGACGCGAAAGCGUGGGGAGCAAAC